This 292-nucleotide ribosomal RNA is filed under the name uncultured bacterium. RNAcentral's name for it is "partial 16S ribosomal RNA". It matches the Rfam family "Bacterial small subunit ribosomal RNA", at positions 505 to 796 of the family's 1533-position model. The record is from RNAcentral.
GUGCCAGCAGCCGCGGUAAAACGUAGGAUCCGAGCGUUAUCCGAAUUCACUGGGCGUAAAGCGCGUGCAGGCGGUACAGCAAGUUGGAUGUAAAAUCUCCUGGCUCAACUGGGAGGGGACGUACAAAACUGCUGAACUAGAGGACGGCAGAGGAAGGUGGAAUUCCCGGUGUAGUGGUGAAAUGCGUAGAUAUCGGGAGGAACACCAGUGGCGAAGGCGGCCUUCUGGGCCGUACCUGACGCUCAGACGCGAAAGCUAGGGGAGCAAACGGGAUUAGAUACCCUCGUAGUCC